RNAcentral lists this ribosomal RNA (464 nucleotides) under Vreelandella stevensii. Its description in RNAcentral is "partial 16S ribosomal RNA". It matches the Rfam family "Bacterial small subunit ribosomal RNA", at positions 339 to 795 of the family's 1533-position model. The record is from RNAcentral. Lineage: Bacteria; Pseudomonadati; Pseudomonadota; Gammaproteobacteria; Oceanospirillales; Halomonadaceae.
CUACGGGCGGCUGCAGUGGGGAAUAUUGGACAAUGGGCGAAAGCCUGAUCCAGCCAUGCCGCGUGUGUGAAGAAGGCCUUCGGGUUGUAAAGCACUUUCAGUGGGGAAGAAAGCCUUGGGGCUAAUACCCUCGAGGAAGGACAUCACCCACAGAAGAAGCACCGGCUAACUCCGUGCCAGCAGCCGCGGUAAUACGGAGGGUGCGAGCGUUAAUCGGAAUUACUGGGCGUAAAGCGCGCGUAGGCGGUCUGAUAAGCCGGUUGUGAAAGCCCCGGGCUCAACCUGGGAACGGCAUCCGGAACUGUCAGGCUAGAGUGCAGGAGAGGAAGGUAGAAUUCCCGGUGUAGCGGUGAAAUGCGUAGAGAUCGGGAGGAAUACCAGUGGCGAAGGCGGUCUUCUGGACUGACACUGACGCUGAGGUGCGAAAGCGUGGGUAGCAAACAGGAUUAGAUACCCCAGUAGUC